ACCCAGACUCCUACGGGAGGCAGCAGUGGGGGAUAUUGCACAAUGGGCGCAAGCCUGAUGCAGCGACGCCGCGUGAGCGAAGAAGUAUUUCGGUAUGUAAAGCUCUAUCAGCAGGGAAGAAAAUGACGGUACCUGACUAAGAAGCCCCGGCUAACUACGUGCCAGCAGCCGCGGUAAUACGUAGGGGGCAAGCGUUAUCCGGAUUUACUGGGUGUAAAGGGAGCGUAGACGGCUGUGCAAGCCAGAUGUGAAAUCCCGGGGCUCAACCCCGGGACUGCAUUUGGAACUGUGUGGCUGGAGUGUCGGAGAGGCAGGCGGAAUUCCUAGUGUAGCGGUGAAAUGCGUAGAUAUUAGGAGGAACACCAGUGGCGAAGGCGGCCUGCUGGACGAUGACUGACGUUGAGGCUCGAAAGCGUGGGGAGCAAACAGGAUUAGAUACCCGUGUAC
This 447-nucleotide ribosomal RNA is filed under the name uncultured bacterium. Its description in RNAcentral is "bacterial SSU rRNA". It matches the Rfam family "Bacterial small subunit ribosomal RNA", at positions 329 to 793 of the family's 1533-position model. The record is from RNAcentral.